UACGUAGGGGGCUAGCGUUGUCCGGAAUCAUUGGGCGUAAAGCGCGCGUAGGCGGCCCGGUAAGUCCGCUCUGAAAGUCCAGGGCUCAACCCUGGAAAGCGGGUGGAUACUGCCGGGCUAGAAUCCGGAAGAGGCGAGUGGAAUUCCUGGUGUAGCGGUGGAAUGCGCAGAUAUCAGGAGGAACACCGGUGGCGAAGGCGGGUCUCUGGGCCGAUAUUGACGCUGAGGAGCGAAAGCGUGGGGAGCGAACAGG
This 253-nucleotide ribosomal RNA is filed under the name uncultured bacterium. Its description in RNAcentral is "partial 16S ribosomal RNA". It matches the Rfam family "Bacterial small subunit ribosomal RNA", at positions 524 to 776 of the family's 1533-position model. The record is from RNAcentral.